AACCGGAUUUGCAGGCGAGCAGGCUACGAGUUAGGACUUCCUUCUCUUCCAAUGCUAUUGGUGAGCUUCGCUUUUGUUCGUGGAGUAUUCCUUAGAAUCAUCUUUACUUAGUUAUUUCUUUGUUACUUAGAGAACUCGCCAGGAAAUCUCAUUUCCUGAGCAGUGCGUCAGUUUAUCAGUAGAGGCUUCAUAGACAUAGUCGUUGGGUUAAGCUUCAGAUGUUUUUGAUAAUAACUUAGCAGUAUUUCAUUGGUCACUAUGAAUAAAGUUUUGGAGUUAAUUUAUUUAAAUGUUUAAAUUAAUCAAAAGUAUUUGGUUAGAGUAUUGCCUUGUUGCAUAUAAAGUUUGGAGUUAUAAUAGAUUUGAUAAGCAGAGAUGGUUCGCUCGGUCAUGUUUAGUGAUCGAGUGAUGGUCCCGGCUUGUUCAGAAAGUGGGUCAUGACAAACUUGUUAUAAGAGCCUCAGGUUUAUGGAGUCCUAGAGGUCUAUGAAGCCGUGUUAGUAGAGUCAUGUUUAUGUGUAUGAAGCGUGCCAUACUUAUAAACAUGAGGAUACCAACAUUUAGGAAAAGUCUCAUUUUUCUCAUACUUUAGAUCAUGCAGUAGAUCCUACCUCUAAGAAAUUAUCUAAUGUAUUCGUUUCUCCAAAACUCGCAGAAAUGGCUCGUACUCGCAACUCUGACACCGACACUCAGGAUGCUACUAAAGAAACUAUUGCUACUAUUGUGGCUCAAGGCAGAACUAAAAAGGUGUUACAACCCAUAUUUUUGUACCUGAAAGUACGUCGUGAGUCAAUUGAUGUAAGCUCAAAAAGGAUGAAAUCCUUCUACAAGAAUAAGAAAGGUUUGUCAAAGUGUUACGCAAGUUAAGGUGAAUAUGAGACUUGUUAAUCAUGAUUUAAAUGAGUUUAAAGCCAUUAUUU
This 920-nucleotide long non-coding RNA is filed under the name Nicotiana tabacum (common tobacco). RNAcentral's name for it is "long non-coding RNA (NTAB_LNC009503)". Lineage: Eukaryota; Viridiplantae; Streptophyta; Magnoliopsida; Solanales; Solanaceae. The record is from RNAcentral.